RNAcentral lists this ribosomal RNA (432 nucleotides) under uncultured bacterium. RNAcentral's name for it is "partial 16S ribosomal RNA". It matches the Rfam family "Bacterial small subunit ribosomal RNA", at positions 29 to 506 of the family's 1533-position model. The record is from RNAcentral.
AACGAACGCUGGCGGCAUGCCUAACACAUGCAAGUCGAACGAGACCUUCGGGUCUAGUGGCGCACGGGUGCGUAACGCGUGGGAACCUGCCCUUAGGUUCGGAAUAACUCCCCGAAAGGGGUGCUAAUACCGGAUAAUGUCUUCGGACCAAAGAUUUAUCGCCUUUGGAUGGGCCCGCGUUGGAUUAGCUAGUUGGUAGGGUAAAAGCCUACCAAGGCGACGAUCCAUAGCUGGUCUGAGAGGAUGAUCAGCCACACUGGGACUGAGACACGGCCCAGACCCCUACGGGAGGCAGCAGUGGGGAAUUUUGGACAAUGGGCGAAAGCCUGAUCCAGCAAUGCCCGGUGAGUGAUGAAGGCCUUAGGGUUGUAAAGCUCUUUUACCCGGGAUGAUAAUGACAGUCCCGGGAGAAAAAGCCCCGGCUAACCCCGU